GGGAGGGGACUACUGCCAUGAGUCAUCUCUCCUGCUCCUGGAAGCAGCCUCUCAUAUAUUGAUCCACCAGGAGUGACUUCAUUGACUCAGCAUCCUGGGCUCAUAUGGACUUGUGUCUGUGGUCUGUUAUUGCCCUGCCAGGAGUGAAGAGACACUUCUUCAUGUCUCCUCAGGAAAAGCUGUACAUCGGAGAUUCUUAGCAUUAAGAGCAUCAUUAAGAGUACAAACAGCUGUGCACACAAGUGAAUAGUUUGAGUGUGAGUGUGUGUGUAUCGGUGUGUAAGUGUGUGUGAGUGUGUGUGAGAUUGUGUGAAUGUGAGUGUGUGCGUAUGUGUGUGAGAGAUUGUGUGAAUGUGAGUGUGUGUAUGUGUGUGAGAGUGUGUGUGUGAGUGUGUGAGUAUGAGUGUGUGUGAGUAUGAGUGUAUAUAUUAGUGUGUGUGAAUGUGUGUGAGUGUGAGUGUGUGUAUGAGUGUGUAUGUGAGUGUGUAUGAGUGUGUGUGAGUGUAUGUGAGUGUGUGAGUGUGAGUGUAAGAGUGUGUGUGAGUGUGUGAGUGUGAGAGAAUGUGUGUGUGUGUGUGUGUGUGUGUGUGUGUGUGUGUGUGAGUCUUAAGGUGAACGUUUGUAAGGCUUGCCUUCCUGCUGGUUUUCUCUGCCUGAGUCUUGGAUAUGGAUGGAUAUACAACCCUCAGCUUCAUUCUCUGACUACUUCUUGUCUCUCUCUCUCUCUGUUAUGGACUCUCCCAAUGGAACUGUAGGCCAAAAUAAGCACUUUCUUUUUUUACCCCUAUAAGUCACUUUUGAUCAUGGAGUUUUAUUACAGUGACAAAAAAUAAGGACUGCACCUCCCUAUCAUGUUAUGGCACCAUUCCUUGCGUUGUGGCAUUUACUAGACCAGCUUGCUUUUAUGGUUUCCAAGUUAAAGAGCACCUCAGUUGGUUCUGCUGAGACUCCCAACACUCCUGUCUCACAGAGGCUGAACCAGGACAGCGCCUGGCAGAGUCCAAAGACGAUGAACGCUGGGAGAUUCCUCGCAUCCGACUUCUAAAUCUAUGUGAGAGGAUGAGCUGGGAAAGCAAUGUCAUCAUUAGCACAAUCUAAUGCAGAAAGAUUAAAGCCUGAGGCUUCUUGUGCUA
Non-coding RNA from Rattus norvegicus (Norway rat), 1133 nucleotides. NCBI's taxonomy places the organism in Eukaryota, Metazoa, Chordata, Mammalia, Rodentia, Muridae. The record is from RefSeq and is a predicted model, not a curated record.